RNAcentral lists this ribosomal RNA (324 nucleotides) under uncultured eukaryote. Its description in RNAcentral is "partial 18S ribosomal RNA". It matches the Rfam family "Eukaryotic small subunit ribosomal RNA", at positions 1470 to 1796 of the family's 1831-position model. The record is from RNAcentral.
CCCUUAGAUGUUCUGGGCUGCACGCGCGCUACACUGAAGCUAUCAACACGUUUUCCCUCCCUGAGAAGGGCGGGUAACCUUUUGAAUCAGCUUCGUGGUAGGGAUCGGGGCUUGCAAUUGUUCCCCGUGAACCAGGAAUUCCUAGUAGACGCGAGUCAUAAGCUCGCAUCGAUUAAGUCCCUGCCCUUUGUACACACCGCCCGUCGCUACUACCGAUUGAACGUUUUAGUGAGGCAUUUGGACCGAUGCAUCUCAGUUUAACCGCUGGUUUGUGUUGGAAAGACUUCCAAACUUGAGCGUUUAGAGGAAGUAAAAGUCGUAACA